GAGUUUGAUCGUGGCUCAGAGUGAACGCUGGCGGCGUGCCUAAUACAUGCAAGUCGAACGCGAAAGUCCUUCGGAUGAGUAAAGUAGGCGCACGGGUGAGUAAUGGUUGAGAACGUGCCCUGAGGUGGGGAAUAACAGUUGGAAACGACUGCUAAUACCGCAUACGACCUGAGGGUGAAAGCGGGGGACCGGUAACGGCCUCGCGCGACAGGAGCGGCCGAUGUCUGAUUAGCUAGUUGGUGGGGUAAGAGCCUACCAAGGCGACGAUCAGUAGCUGGUCUGAGAGGACGAUCAGCCACACUGGGACUGAGACACGGCCCAGACUCCUACGGGAGGCAGCAGUGGGGAAUUUUGGACAAUGGGGGCAACCCUGAUCCAGCAAUGCCGCGUGUGUGAAGAAGGCC
RNAcentral lists this ribosomal RNA (404 nucleotides) under uncultured beta proteobacterium. Its description in RNAcentral is "bacterial SSU rRNA". It matches the Rfam family "Bacterial small subunit ribosomal RNA", at positions 9 to 416 of the family's 1533-position model. Lineage: Bacteria; Pseudomonadati; Pseudomonadota; Betaproteobacteria. The record is from RNAcentral.